CCCCUCCUAAAUAAUAAAUUUGUUAAUCAUAUUUUGUUUUUUAGUCAUAAUUUUUAAAAAUAAAAUGUGUAAACAGGUGUCCUAUUGUUACUGGAUAUGGAAAGAGAAUGGUUGUUUCCCUUACCUAAUGUAGGAACAUGUUUAAGAUCUCUUCUUUACUGUCUGUCUAAUCCCCAUCCCCACCCAUGGAAUGACAGUAACAAUUAAAUAUAAAAAACUAGCAGUAAUGCUAGAAUUUUUUUAGUUGUCAUGUCCUAGUCUAAACACAAAAUUACAAAAAAAAAUUCUCUUGCUGGCCACAGGGUAUCUACUUUGAAGUCUGCAAUAUGUGUUCUUCCAUUGUUAUAGUACUACAUCAACUUGUAUAAUCUGGACAUUGUUAACUCAACAAGAAAGCUGUGAACUCUCCUUUAUUAGCUUUUAAAGAACACUGGAUAUUUAGUUGUAGCUUUAAAAGCUAGAAUCUUAAACAAGGGCAUUUUGUGAGAGGAUACUUGGGUACCCCACUCUUAUUAAAAGGUCUGAAAAGAUAACUCCAGUUCAGCUGGGAAAAUAAUAAUUCUUUUAUAGAGAGUAUACAUGUACGUACCCUGUGGGAAAACAUUACCUUAUAGGCAGAAACUUCUCAUUGUUUAUUUCAAAGAUUUAGUAAAUGUAUCUUUUACUAAGAAUCUCAGAAUACUGGUAAUUCAUUUCUAUUGUGAUGAACUAGAAUUACUAUUCAGAAAUGAGUAAAGUUAAAAUUGACAAUUUUCUUUAUGAAGUUUCUAAAACAGAAAAUACAUUCCCCUAAAUAACAACAUUUAAUUGAAUCAGCCACCCAAACCUCUUCCCUCUCAAUUUCCUGUACUUGUAUAUUCUACACCUCGUAUCUGAUCACUUCAUUUUUUCCCUAUUUGUUCUUAACUUUGUUAGGCACUCUAUGGAAACAACUUUAGAGCUCCCAACAGCCUUAUUAAUCUCAUUUUAAGGAAGCAAACUGAAGCACAGUUUAAAUAACUUGUCCAGUGUCAAGAGCUACUAAAUUGCAAAACGAAGCUAUAAAUCAGCCAGUCGCACUGCAGUUAUACUCACUGCCUCCUAAGUACCCUAACAUAUUUAAGCCAUUCCCAACUGGUAUACAUUUAUUUCUUUAGUUUUUUGUUUUGUUUUGUUUGUACAGUGCGUUUAUUUAAGAGUUACUAAUGUCACCACUGUGAUUGCUCCCAAUAAACAUUUCGGGUACUCAUUUCCUAAUUCUAGCAGCAUGGCUGGGUCAGAGGAUGUGUCUUAAACUCCUUUUAAGUCUCAGUUCAGUGAUAAUUGCAACUAGCUAGUAUUCCUGAUUGCCCAGUUUAAACAUACUUGAAGCAGAAAACUAAUAUGGGGUAAGAUGAAGUAACACAUUUAGUCAGCAACAAAAUACGAGUUUGCUGAACUACAUGGAAUGGUAACAAAAACUAUUAAGGAGGAAAAAUAAAAUAAAGAGUUCAAAAAGCACUACAGUCUUGGGCUAACUACUGGCAGUAAUAAAAAACCCCAUGGAACUAAUAGCUCCUGAGAGUAUUGCUUUAUGUUAGUGCAGUAGAAUCUGCCUCUUAACUUACUUAUUACAAAUUACUUUUACAUAUUCUAUUUUUAAAGAGAGUACUAAAGUAUUAAAUAUAUUUUAGAAAAUUUUCCAUCAACCUAUCUCAUACCACACUUAAAAAACAAAUGAGAACUAAAAACAUAUAAAUGUUGACAUUAGAAUGAAUUAAAAUACAUAAAUAUGAAAUAAUUAUAAAGUAUAAUAAUUAAACAGUAUUAAAAGGAAAUAGAAAAGGAUUUUUUAUUUGUAAAGAUUUUCUCAAGAGUGAAAACCCAAAGCUAUUAACUACAGAACUAUAAAUGUGAUUACAUAAAAAUGUAAAACUUCACUAAGAAAGUCCACAAAAUUUAAAAAAUGCUAAUAUAAGGAUAAUAUAUAUACAUAUGUAUUUAUUUUUUAAUUUUAAUUUUUUUUGGUGUCAUUAAUAUACACGUACAUGAACAAUAUUGUGCUUACUAGACUCCCAACCCCUUCUCAAAUCCCCACCACAUACCCCAUUACAGUCACUGUCCAUCAGCGUAGUAAGAUGCUACAGAAUCACUACUUGUUUUCUCUGUACUAUACUGCCUUCCCUGUGUCCCCCCUCACACACACACAUUAUGUGUGCUAAUCAUAAUGCCCCUUUUUCCUCUUAUCCCUCCCUUCCCACCCAUCCUACCCAGUCGCUUUCCCUAAUUGUUAAGUCCAUUCUUGGGUUCUGUGAGUCUGCUGCUCUUUUGUUCCUUUAGUUUUUGCUUUGUUUUAAUACUCCACAGAUGAGGGAAAUCAUUUCAUACUUGUCUUUCUCCACCUGGCUUAUUUCACCAAGCAUAAUACUCUCUAGCUCCAUCCAUGUUGUUGCAAAUAGUAGGGUUUGUUUUCUUCUUAUGGCUGAAGAAUAUUCUAUUGUGUGUAUGUACCACAUCUUCUUUAUCCAUUCAUCUACUGAUGGGCACUUAGGUUGCUUCCACUUCUUGGCUAUUGUAAAUAUUGUAGGACUAAAUGAGGGUUUCCAUUUAAAUAUAAAGUAACUGAAAGCAGGGAUGGUUCUACUGUCAGAUGCCUUCAGCAAUAUAAAUCAUGUAUAAAUUAAAAUUUUAAAUUAACCUUACUGUAAUGAUAGACAUAUUCUUUUAUUCUCUUUUACUUCAUCAAUCUGUAGGCUACCUGCAACUCUUUCUCCUUACUCCCACCUCCACAUUGGACUGGAAGUAAAUUUGAUUUUCUUCUAAAAGAAUGAUUUGUUCAUUUUGUAACAUAUUCAGAAACCAAUGACUCAGCAACACAUUAGUCUAAAUUCCUCAGCCUGAUAUUAAAUACCUUCCAGAGUGAUCCUGAAAUCCCUUCGAUGUCCCUCUUCCAUGAACUAAUUCAAGUGGUUUAGUCACGGACUGUACUGCUUUUUUGCCAGGAUGUUCUUUGUCAAAAUCUUUCUGCUUGAGUUGUCUUUUCUUCUUACUAAAAUACUAGCCACUGGAACUUAGCUUAAGUCACAAACUUAAUUCCCCAACCCAUAAACUGAAUAUCCUCUAUUUGGGAUUGUUUUGUCUUCUGAAUUCCAUUAUUUUCUGUAACAUUUAUUUGCCACUUAUAUAUUAUCUCCUUAAAUACAGUAACUUUUUUUCAACUAGCUUAUAAACUACUUAGGAACAAUGGUUGUCUUUCUUCUUGUUAUCUCUCAAGUAAGUAUAAUCAGUGUAUGAGUAGAAACAUAAAAGUUACAAGGUAUAUGUGACCUUAGAUGUUCCUAACCUAACUGUACCAUUUCUUCAACCUCAAAAUGUGAUAAGAUAAUCCAUUUCAGUGGGCUGGAGUGAGAAUUGAGUUUCCACAGAUAGUGUGAAAUAGUUCUGAGUGUGUAAGUACUAUAUUGUGUUUGUUUUCAUGAUUAUCAGCACCCAAGAAUUUAAAAAGCCCAGAACAACCUAAAAUUAGUUUACAUAGUUGUUAGAGACCUAUCCAAAGAAUUGGAUUUAUAAAUGUGUGACAGAUGCAAUCACAGAAUACUAUAAUGUCCAAUCCCUGCAUAUGCCCAGGAUAAAGAACUAUAUGUAAUCGCAUUAACUAGGCAGAUCUAGCUACCCAAAAGACAUUGUCCAUGUUCCUGCUGGAUGCCAUAUGCUAAAUUAAGUUCUCAUAAGAAAGGUAAGAGUACCUUCAUGCAGGGAACUCAAAAUUAUUAGGAAAGAAGAUACAGUACACCACCAAACACAAAAAGGUUUGAUGACUUAUGCCACCCUUAUCAUGUUGGGAGUAGGUAAUAGAAGGAAAUCUGAGAAAGCUUCUUAAAGCAACAAAACCUUAAAGGAAAAAUACAGAGAAGCAAAGGGACCAUUAUAUGCAAAACAUCGGGAAGGCUGUAAAUAACCCGGCAGAAGUAAUAAUGUUGUAACUAAAUAAUGGUUCACAUAAUACAGAAAAAAAAGGAAAUACUAAAAAAUCACCCAAUUUCUGCAAAGAACUGAGCUCAGUUACUAUCAUCCCUUUGUGACUCUUUCUGAGCAGAAAAUCAACCUUCCACUUUAUUGAUGCAUAUUAACACCUGACAUGAUGAUUUGCAUAUGACUGAUGGUGAUUUUGAUUGAGGGAAAAGAUGCUCAAGGACAGUUUUUUGUUGUUAUUUUUUCACUUGUCCACUCUUCUGACCUAUGUAAUCCAUUUAUCCAGUAUCAAAAACACACAGACAUACAGUCCACGGUUCUCACACUGAGCCCUUGCUUAGUCAAA
Molecule: long non-coding RNA, 4276 nt
Organism: Manis pentadactyla (Chinese pangolin)
Lineage: Eukaryota; Metazoa; Chordata; Mammalia; Pholidota; Manidae
Exons: 3
Source: RefSeq, a predicted model, not a curated record